RNAcentral lists this ribosomal RNA (309 nucleotides) under uncultured bacterium. RNAcentral describes it as "partial 16S ribosomal RNA". It matches the Rfam family "Bacterial small subunit ribosomal RNA", at positions 504 to 809 of the family's 1533-position model. The record is from RNAcentral.
AGAGACUGCAGUCGCCGCGGGAAAACGGAGGGUGCAAGCGUUAUCCGGAUUUAUUGGGUUUAAAGGGUCCGUAGGCGGAUCUGUAAGUCAGUGGUGAAAUCUCACAGCUUAACUGUGAAACUGCCAUUGAUACUGCAGGUCUUGAGUAAAUUUGAAGUGGCUGGAAUAAGUAGUGUAGCGGUGAAAUGCAUAGAUAUUACUUAGAACACCAAUUGCGAAGGCAGGUCACUAAGAUUUAACUGACGCUGAUGGACGAAAGCGUGGGGAGCGAACAGGAUUAGAUACCCCCGUAGUCCCUGUCUCUUAUAU